RNA transcript from Momordica charantia (bitter melon), 1900 nucleotides. It is a transcript of the gene named DNA replication protein-like protein, with no coding region annotated. NCBI's taxonomy places the organism in Eukaryota, Viridiplantae, Streptophyta, Magnoliopsida, Cucurbitales, Cucurbitaceae. The record is from RefSeq and is a predicted model, not a curated record.
CAAAGAAAAUUGAAAACCCCGCUCGGACUCGUCUUCCUUUCGCGCCACUCCCGCUCUCUUUUAAUCUCACUUUCUCUCUCUAAGACUGACGAAAUUAUCUCCGUUCCUCUUCAAUAUCUGCGUUUAUCGCUAUUGGAUGUAGUUAGGGUUCUAGAUACGAGAAUUUAGAGCCAAUUAAAGCGUUUGAGGCAUUGAUAGGAAAACAGUCUGGGAGAAUUGCCAAAAUAAUUGGACACAUGAUGGCAUCAAGUUUGGGAGGAGCCACGAUGUCGCAAACAGAUGAUUUCGAGGCGUCAACUCCAACCAAUGAUGUUGAGCCUCUAAAGAGGGCUUGGCGUAAUGAAAAGGCUGCUCCUGAGAUUCUACCCUUUGAGGCAUCUUUGAUUGGGAGAAUCAAAGAGCAAAUCCAAUUAAUGGAAGAAACUAUAGAGGAAUAUUCAAGAAGUGGUAUUGAUCCCCUAAUUGUAUCACUCUAUCAAAUGGAUUUAGAUAGGACACAGUUCUUAUUGAGAUCAUAUAUCAGGAUUCGCUUACAGAAGAUCGAGAAGUACAUGCUCUAUAUGUUGAAGUCAGAUGAACUUUUUGGACGCCUUUCUGAAGAAGAGAGAGUAUUUGCUGAAAGGUGUUGUCAUGAUGUGAAAUCUCAUUUUGAUGAGAGUGUUCUAUCAAAAUUGCCUAAUAAUUAUCAGAGCAUUUUGAGGCAAUCUAUAAUAAGUGAAGAGGAUGACAUGGUUCCAGAACCUCCACUGGAUACAUUUGUGGUUUGCAAAAGUAAGGAAUAUCUGGAACAUAUACAGCUUGAGGAUGAGGACGAGAGGGCAUCUAGUAGACUAGAGGAACCUUUUGAGAUGGAGGCCAAUGUAUUACACAUUAUUCGCUACAAGCCCAUAAAAUCACUUGUUGAGAGUGGGAGAAUUGAUUUGCUGUAGACAAUCUCCACGGUCCCUUUUGUGCUUCAUCUUUGAUGUUCUGAAAUAGCGGCUCUCGACAUCGGUGAUGGAGACUAUCUUGCAUUGGUUACUUGGAUGUUUAUUUCAAAAUUGGUUGAGCCCAUAAAUGAAAGGAAUGGCAGAGGAGCAUUGAAUGCAUUAGCAAGAGCUGGUGAGCCAUUUCAAUCUGAUAUCUCAUGAUAUUAAAUGCUCAAACUGUACAAUUUAUGCGUAAUUAAAGUUUCAUAUCGAUUAGAAAGGAUAGAAAUUAUAAGGUUAUGGAUAGAAUAAUUUGUCCUGCAACUUAGUAAAUAAUCACAAAAGGAAAAGUUCCUUUUGUUGAGCUUAACUUGAAAUAAUUCAACUAGUUAAAGCACAGUAAAAAACUUCUCUCCUGGAGAUUCAGGAGGAAGCUUGUAAUAUAAACAAGUGAAUUUUUUAAUCCACUUAUCCAUAUGUUACGGGACCACGCAUUUCCACCUGAAUCUUUAGGAAGGAAGUUUCGUCCAAAAUACAUCAAAAUGUCGGAGGUUCGAAUCACUGUCCUCACUUAUUGUUUUGGUUGAAAAGUGAUAGAGACUCUUUUUAUUAAUGAGAGUGAUUUUGGGGAUGGCCAAUGGAAGGAGGGAGAUUAGAAAUCCUUGAUCCAUUGAACAGAGAUGUGUGAUUAUUAGUUUUGUUAUUGGAUUUUGAGGCAUCCAAAUCCAUAUGAAGAUCAAGAAUCCCAUCAGGAUUUACUUUUUAAGUGAAUAAUUUGAAAGACUGAUGGUUUGGGUUUGAGUGGGAGAGGCAUGAUUUGUAUUUAUUUGUUUUUACUUUUUACCAACUCCAAAGUUAAAGCUUCCACUGCACCUCCUCAGCAACCUUAUAAUUAUUUUAUUUUAUUUUAAGAAACAUGAAAAAUUUUAAGAGUUGUUUGGUAAUUAUUAUUUUUUUAAUUAAGCUAGUAAAUAUUACUUUCAUCUGUCUUU